UAGAUGUCUAAAACAUUCAUUUGAAAUGAAAUUAUGACUAUUUGAAUAUAAUAAAAAUAUUCAAUAAAAUAUUCUAUUUUCUUAUAAAACAAUAUUUAUAGAGUUACCGGUAAAUAAUUUUUUUAGCGUAAAAGUUAAAUAAAUUCAUACAUACUGUAAUACAGAUAACCAAAGUAUAAAAUUUAAUUUAUAAUGACACGUGGCCCACGAACGACCAAAAGUAUCAAAA
RNAcentral lists this long non-coding RNA (229 nucleotides) under Theobroma cacao (cacao). Its description in RNAcentral is "long non-coding RNA (TCAC_LNC000986)". Lineage: Eukaryota; Viridiplantae; Streptophyta; Magnoliopsida; Malvales; Malvaceae. The record is from RNAcentral.